GAGCAACAGGCUUCCUCACGGUCAUGCCAACAGAGCAAACGGGGCUGGAAGCCAAGCUUUUCUUGUGUCCCUAAAUCAGCAGGAGGAUAUCCGGGUACCCCAACCAUCUCUUGGCUGCCCCCUGCCUGGUUCCUCCAGGGAGUCACUAAAAUCUCCAUAUUGCUGAAGCCCCAUUGGGCAAGAAGAAUGGUGGAAGCGGACAUGGUGGGGGAUGGGGAGAAGUUGAGACUGGGGAGUUGCCUCUACUCCCUGCCCUCGGUCAACACAACUGCCUUUCCUGAAGCCAGGCAGGCUGUCUUGGGUAUUUUCUUUCUCACUGGGCCACCUGCCGCCACCCUGGGAAGCAGGCAGGCGUUGGGAAGGUCUUGGAGUACCUGAGGAAUACACUUUAUAGCCACACACAGACCUAGAUUCUCACUUUCCAAGCCUUCUACAGGGGACAGUACCCUCAUCCUCCAUCUAAGA
Molecule: long non-coding RNA, 465 nt
Filed under: Rattus norvegicus (Norway rat)
Lineage: Eukaryota; Metazoa; Chordata; Mammalia; Rodentia; Muridae
Description: long non-coding RNA NONRATT006285
Source: RNAcentral